GACGUAGGGCGCGAGCGUUGUCCGGAUUUAUUGGGCGUAAAGAGCUCGUAGGCGGCUUGUCGCGUCGACUGUGAAAACCCGAGGCUCAACCUCGGGCCUGCAGUGGGUACGGGCAGACUAGAGUGCGGUAGGGGAGAUUGGAAUUCCUGGUGUAGCGGUGGAAUGCGCAGAUAUCAGGAGGAACACCGGUGGCGAAGGCGGGUCUCUGGGCCGUAACUGACGCUGAGGAGCGAAAGCAUGGGGAGCGAACAGG
Molecule: ribosomal RNA, 253 nt
Filed under: uncultured bacterium
Lineage: Bacteria
Description: partial 16S ribosomal RNA
Rfam family: Bacterial small subunit ribosomal RNA
Source: RNAcentral